Long non-coding RNA from Carassius carassius (crucian carp), 284 nucleotides. RefSeq lists it as uncharacterized. NCBI's taxonomy places the organism in Eukaryota, Metazoa, Chordata, Actinopteri, Cypriniformes, Cyprinidae. The transcript has 3 exons. The record is from RefSeq and is a predicted model, not a curated record.
GACUCGGUCCACAGGAAUCAGACAGAAUCACAUGAGAUUCGAUGGAGAAACGUGACCAUCAUCACAUCUGUCCUGCUGAAUGUGCUUCUGAUCUUCACAUUAAUAGGUUUGGUGAAGAGCUACAGUGGAAGAUCAACAAAUUACACUGCAGCUAAAAACUCAAAUAAUCUACAGUGUGCUGAAAUAGAUUUUUCUCUGUGUGCUGCUAACAUCAAACUGAUCCAAGAGCAGAGGACGGCUGUCUUAUACAGACAAUGUGUGAUGUAAAUAUGCAGAAAUUGUGC